AUUAUAUUGCCGUUAAGCCCACCUGAGUAGUACCAGCGCAUGCUCUAAACUCAAAGUAUUUGGCGGCCCUCCYCCUCAUUAGAGGAACCUGCCCCGUAAUCGAUGACCCACGUAUUGUCCCACCUUUCUUAAAAGUUUGUAUACCGCCGCUUAGAGUGAGUCCUAAGACCCACUCGNGAUUAUCUUAUUAAAUAAUUCAGGUCAAGGUGCAGCCUAUGGAAAGGAGGCGGUGGGUUACAAUGAAAUAUAGAGCCGGAUCUCGUACUUAAAUGUANGGGUGAAGCUGGAUUUAAAAGUAAAUUAGUACAAAAUUGACAGAGUUCUGGA
RNAcentral lists this ribosomal RNA (327 nucleotides) under Pseudocloeon sp. BMNH 704655. RNAcentral's name for it is "partial 12S ribosomal RNA". Lineage: Eukaryota; Metazoa; Arthropoda; Insecta; Ephemeroptera; Baetidae. The record is from RNAcentral.